Long non-coding RNA from Clupea harengus (Atlantic herring), 330 nucleotides. RefSeq lists it as uncharacterized. The transcript is spliced from 2 exons. Lineage: Eukaryota; Metazoa; Chordata; Actinopteri; Clupeiformes; Clupeidae. The record is from RefSeq and is a predicted model, not a curated record.
AUCUGCGCUAUGGCAAACCAGAAUCCAGGCAGAUCCGAAAAGUGAUUUCAGCAGUGAAGGGUUCUUUUGGUUCCUAGUCUCUCUGAGAGGCAUUGCCAUUUCACCAAGCUGACGAAUGACUUUGAUGGUCACACUCUGAUGCACUUACUAAAGAAAAUGUUAACGUUAAGAAAAUUAUGUUAUUUACUAACUGAAAAAUUAAUUGGUAGUAAAUCUGGAAGUGCAUUGAACUCCUAAUUUGAAAAGUUUAAAUGACUUUCCCAGAUGUGGUGAAGUGACUGAACAGUAUAAAGAAACAAAUUAAUACAUAAUAAACAAUCAUACUGAUGU